GGUGAAUCAUCUUCAGUCUUUGCUGGAUUGUUGAAUGAACCACAGCUAGUGAAGCUGGCUUGCUUGUCCUGUGGAGUUGUGGGCUGUUGCUUCCUCAAGGACUCACCUGCAAGCUGAGUGUUCUUUCUUUCCUGCACCUGCUUUAUCCAGUUGGCUCUGCAAUCUGCCUGAAGACUGAGUGUACCUGCGGAGACUAAUGUUACCCUGACGAGUUUAAUGUCUUGGCCAAACAGCCACACUCUCCUGCGCGCACAAGACCUGAGCCUGCUCCAGUUCUUUCAUGACCUCAUCAAAUCCUGCCUACCAAAGGCUUCACUCUUCCUUGGCCACUGCUGAUCUUUCUUUUCCAUUGGAAACUCCACCCCACUCUUGUAGGGGGCGGGGCCAGCCUGCCUUCUAGCUUUAUUUGUGCUUUGACCUUUUAUUUUUUCUAUCCCCCAUUUAUAUUUUUUUUUUUCUUCCACCUGUGGGGUCUGGUAUUGUCACAAAGUAAAACCUAAUGAAAUAAAAAGAAAUUGGCUAUAAGAGCAGCUGGAGCAGGGUUUUCUUUUUUUUAAGACCCUGGUUCUACUAGCUAGAGCUGCUGUGUUCAUGUGCACAAUUGGUGCAUGUACAAGUUUAUCAAAUCACCACCAGAGUUUAAAUUUAAAGCAUAACUAAAGAUGUGUGUAUUUGUAAUGACCAGUUACCUGCUGAUCCCUGCUGCACUUACGCCUCUCUUGAAUAUCCUUCUAUUAUGUUUGCUGCACUCUUCUACUGCGCCCCAGAAAGCUUUCUUACAUGGAUCAAAUGGAAAAAGAAGCUAUGCGUAGACUGAAACAGCA
Molecule: long non-coding RNA, 824 nt
Organism: Oreochromis aureus
Lineage: Eukaryota; Metazoa; Chordata; Actinopteri; Cichliformes; Cichlidae
Exons: 3
Source: RefSeq, a predicted model, not a curated record